This 466-nucleotide ribosomal RNA is filed under the name uncultured bacterium. RNAcentral's name for it is "partial 16S ribosomal RNA". It matches the Rfam family "Bacterial small subunit ribosomal RNA", at positions 28 to 507 of the family's 1533-position model. The record is from RNAcentral.
GAUGAACGCUGGCGGCGUGCUUAACACAUGCAAGUCGAACGGAAAGGCCCAAGCUUGCUUGGGUACUCGAGUGGCGAACGGGUGAGUAACACGUGGGUGAUCUGCCCUGCACUUCGGGAUAAGCCUGGGAAACUGGGUCUAAUACCGGAUAGGACCACAUUUUGGAUGGUGUGGUGGAAAGUUUUUCGGUGUGGGAUGAGCUCGCGGCCUAUCAGCUUGUUGGUGGGGUAAUGGCCUACCAAGGCGUCGACGGGUAGCCGGCCUGAGAGGGUGUACGGCCACAUUGGGACUGAGAUACGGCCCAGACUCCUACGGGAGGCAGCAGUGGGGAAUAUUACACAAUGGGCGCAAGCCUGAUGCAGCGACGCCGCGUGGGGGAUGACGGCCUUCGGGUUGUAAACUCCGUUCGCUAGGGACGAAGCGUUAUGUGACGGUACCUGGAGAAGAAGCACCGGCUAACUACGUG